RNAcentral lists this ribosomal RNA (253 nucleotides) under uncultured bacterium. RNAcentral's name for it is "partial 16S ribosomal RNA". It matches the Rfam family "Bacterial small subunit ribosomal RNA", at positions 524 to 776 of the family's 1533-position model. The record is from RNAcentral.
UACGUAGGGUGCAAGCGUUGUCCGGAAUUAUUGGGCGUAAAGAGCUCGUAGGCGGUCUGUCGCGUCGGCUGUGAAAACCCGGAGCUCAACUCCGGGCCUGCAGUCGAUACGGGCAAACUGGAGUGUUGCAGGGGAGACUGGAAUUCCUGGUGUAGCGGUGAAAUGCGCAGAUAUCAGGAGGAACACCAGCGGCGAAGGCGGCUUUCUGGACCAAUACUGACGCUGAGACGCGAAAGCGUGGGGAGCAAACAGG